GAUGAACGCUGGUGGCGUGCCUAACACAUGCAAGUCGAGCGAUUCUCUUCGGAGAAGAGCGGCGGACGGGUGAGUAACGCGUGGGUAACCUGCCCUGUACACACGGAUAACAUACCGAAAGGUAUGCUAAUACGAGAUAACAUGCUUUUAUCGCAUGGUAGAAGUAUCAAAGCUUUUGCGGUACAGGAUGGACCCGCGUCUGAUUAGCUAGUUGGUGAGGUAACGGCUCACCAAGGCGACGAUCAGUAGCCGACCUGAGAGGGUGAUCGGCCACAUUGGAACUGAGACACGGUCCAAACUCCUACGGGAGGCAGCAGUGGGGAAUAUUGCACAAUGGGCGAAAGCCUGAUGCAGCAACGCCGCGUGAGCGAUGAAGGCCUUCGGGUCGUAAAGCUCUGUCCUCAAGGAAGAUAAUGAUGGUACUUGAGGAGGAAGCCCCGGCUAACUACGUG
RNAcentral lists this ribosomal RNA (452 nucleotides) under uncultured bacterium. RNAcentral describes it as "partial 16S ribosomal RNA". It matches the Rfam family "Bacterial small subunit ribosomal RNA", at positions 28 to 507 of the family's 1533-position model. The record is from RNAcentral.